RNAcentral lists this ribosomal RNA (198 nucleotides) under uncultured bacterium. RNAcentral's name for it is "partial 16S ribosomal RNA". It matches the Rfam family "Bacterial small subunit ribosomal RNA", at positions 328 to 539 of the family's 1533-position model. The record is from RNAcentral.
ACGCUCGACACCUACGUGAGGCAGCAGUGGGGAAUAUUGCACAAUGGGGGAAACCCUGAUGCAGCGACGCCGCGUGAGCGAAGAAGUAUUUCGGUAUGUAAAGCUCUAUCAGCAGGGAAGAUAAUGACGGUACCUGACUAAGAAGCUCCGGCUAAAUACGUGCCAGCAGCCGCGGUAAUCUGAGCGGGCUGGCAAGGC